AACGAACGCUGGCGGCGUGGAUAAGACAUGCAAGUCGAACGGGACUAAAUCUGUAGCAAUACAGGUUUAGUUUAGUGGCGAACGGGUGCGUAACACGUGGGCAAUCUGCCGAGAAGUGGGGGAUAGCUCGCCGAAAGGCGAAUUAAUACCGCAUAUGAUCAGCUAAGACAUCUUAGCGACAUCAAAGCCGGGGCAACCUGGCGCUUCUUGAUGAGCCCGCGGCCUAUCAGCUAGUUGGUGAGGUAACGGCUCACCAAGGCUAUGACGGGUAGCUGGUCUGAGAGGACGACCAGUCACACUGGAACUGAGACACGGUCCAGACACCUACGGGUGGCAGCAGUCGAGUAAUUUUUCNCAAUGGGGAAACCCUGAAGGAGCGACGCCGCGUGGAGGAUGAAGG
Molecule: ribosomal RNA, 400 nt
Filed under: uncultured bacterium
Lineage: Bacteria
Description: bacterial SSU rRNA
Rfam family: Bacterial small subunit ribosomal RNA
Source: RNAcentral